RNAcentral lists this ribosomal RNA (115 nucleotides) under uncultured fungus. RNAcentral describes it as "5.8S ribosomal RNA". The stretch from base 50 to 115 matches the Rfam family "5.8S ribosomal RNA", at positions 1 to 66 of the family's 154-position model. Rfam says of the family: 5.8S ribosomal RNA (5.8S rRNA) is a component of the large subunit of the eukaryotic ribosome. It is transcribed by RNA polymerase I as part of the 45S precursor that also contains 18S and 28S rRNA. The record is from RNAcentral. Lineage: Eukaryota; Fungi.
CAAACCCGAUUUUUUUAUAGAAUCUCUGAGGCCUAAAGGCAACUAUAACAACUUUCAACAACGGAUCUCUUGGCUCUGGCAUCGAUGAAGAACGCAGCGAAAUGCGAUAAGUAUU